Molecule: transfer RNA, 70 nt
Filed under: Bos taurus (domestic cattle)
Lineage: Eukaryota; Metazoa; Chordata; Mammalia; Artiodactyla; Bovidae
Also listed under: 5 other names
Rfam family: tRNA
About the family: Transfer RNA (tRNA) molecules are approximately 80 nucleotides in length. Their secondary structure includes four short double-helical elements and three loops (D, anti-codon, and T loops).
Source: Rfam by way of RNAcentral
CCUGAUAGCUCAGCUGGUAAAAGAAUCUGCCUGCAAUGCAGGAUACCCAGCUUCAAUUCCUGGGUCAGGA